UAAAGGAAACAUAUCAUUACAGUGAGUAAAUUUUACAUAAGAUGUUUUUCAAGCCAUACGAACAUGUCUUAAUGAGACUAUUCAACAGAAUUUUCAACCAAUUUAUCGUCAUCAUUGUACCUCACGGACCAGGCAUGUGUCGCCCAAGGAAAAAUCUUCACAAAUAUAUCAAUCUGCACCAAAAAAUGACCAUAAACGUGCAUUUCAUUCUCGUUUGUUGUAAUAUGAAGGAGGAUUAAAAUACUAAAUUAUGAAAACCAAGCCCUGGUACUACAUUGAAUUAUGAAGUUAUGCUCUAAAUUAAGCAGAGAGGUUCUACUAUGAAAUAAUAAUAUAUUUAGAAUAGGAAAGCAGAUAAAUUUUAAAACUACUCCUGCUGCCCACCAACCUUGCCCAAAAUGAUAAAGGCACGAUAAAGAUAUCAUACUUAAAAAUUGUAUGUUGAAGAGGCGAGCAAAGCCUAUAUGAAAAUCAUCCCUGAAUAUUUCUAAUGUUGUGCAUAUCAUCUACAAAGAAGAGAUGCAAUAGAGAAUUCACACAAGGAAGAAAUUUCUCUCUUUGUUUCAAUUUGUUUGUCUUCAUUUGACUUGAACAGAGUUUAACAAAGUAAAUUGAAUAUAAUCUUCUUGUCCUAAACAAAAGAUACCUAAAAUGUACCAAAAUGCCUUUUAAUCUUAUGAUCAAUUUGUCACGUGGAAAGUUAGAGUCAGAAGUUGUACCAAAAUUUUAUUUAAUCUUGUGGACUCAAAUAUGUUGUGCUGGAAGUUGGAAUCAGAAAGAUGCUAAAAAAAAUAAAAGACGCAUUCUUUUAAUAUAUUUUUAGAUGCCUUUUUACUCCGAACAUGCGACAUAUAUGCCUUUUUAAACUUGAUUCUCGAAUAAGUCCAUACAGACAUAUAUACCGUAACAUCCUCCGGCCCAAAUAACCUUCAUUCAGUUAAUCAACAAAGUCUGAUUUCCUUUUUAAACUAAUUAUGGAAUCUACAUAUCUCAGACCAUACAGAGAGGCUCCUGCCAAGAUUUAUGGAAAGGCUUAAUAUUAUAUCUUCUCAAAUCACCUAGACUUCUUUUGGAAUUAAAUCCACCUAAUAGGUGGUCAGUUAGUUUAAGACCCUGCUGAUUCACUAAAACCAAAUAGGAACAGAAGUUAUAAUUUGAAGGUGGGUUAUAAUUACUUUCUCUUAAAUCAAGUUAAGAUUGAGGAAAUCAGAACGAGACAACUAUUUACUUGCGGAUGUUUACAUUCUAUCAAAAUGUACUAUAGUUGUCAAAGUGUAAUGAAAUCCCACCAUAUGGCAUCAGUCUGAGUCAAAAAAUGUCAGCUAAUGGAAAAGAAAAGUAAAAUGGAAGACAUGACAAAAUCCCGUUUAGCAUCCAUAAGAAUGUCAACUGGCAUAGUUUCAAAGGAACUUUUAUGCUUAUCCCCCAAAGAAGACAACCUCUAUGUAUAAGCAAGAUCAGGCAAACUAAUAAACAUAUCUAAAUAUGAUGGGAUAAAUUACUAAAAAGAGGGAAAAAUAUAAUUGCAUAAAUUAGAAAGAACAUAAUACAAUGACAGUUACUUACAUUGCUUAGAGCGGAUGCUGGAAUUUGCUUAGAUAAUUCAAAAAAGUCCAGAAUAGGUCUUACAACCGCAGGAACAGAGAGGCCUGAAAUUGCAAACAAUAUAAGACAAAACAAGUUCUCAAUCAAAGAGAAAGGCAGAUAGGAAUAGAAGGUCAAUAAGUGUCCUUUCAAAAAAUAGUAUAGAAAAUGUACUACUUUAGUAGGUAAUUGAGUUAUCAUCAUUGCAAUGCUUCUCAUGCUAAAUGUCAUUCUUGAGAUUUUUUCAGUGUGCACCACUGCAGAAUUAUUCACAGAUGAUUGAACCACAAAAAUCUGGGGACUCAGAUAUGAAUUAUACCAUCUUGGACAGGUGACAACACCUUUUCUUUUCUAUUCCAUUAUUGUACACGUCCUAUAAUAUUGAAACCCAUGAACUUUCUUAAACCAAAAUUGAUCAAAUAAAGGAAUGAAACGAACCCCCACAAAUCUUUAAACUCAACUUCAAGAAUGGAAAAAACCCACAAAUUCAUUUUUGGUUUACAAGAAAGAUCUAAUCUUUAAACUCAACUUCAAGAAUAUGAAAACACCCAGAAAUUCCUUUUUGGUUUACAAUAAAGACUCAAUAUUUAAGUUCAAUAAUCAAGAAUGGAAAAACACCUAGAAAAUUCUUUUAGUUAACAAGUAAGAUUGAAUCUUUAAGCUCAAUAUUCAAGAAUGAAAAAAACCUAUGAAAUUUCUUUUGAUUUAAACAAGAAAAACUAAAUCCUUAAGCUCAAUUUCUCAAGUAUGAAAAAACAAAACCCAGAAAUUUCUUUUGGUAGAAUGAAAAAACAACUAGAAAUUUCUUUUUGCUUACAUAAGAAGACUCAAUCUUUAAGCUCCAAGAAGAAACCAACUUCAUCCGAUUAACAAAAAUAAAAAACAGUCAGAAGAAAAUGGAAAUAUAUGAAAAAUAACAUGAAUUAAAGAUGGAAAAAACUAAUUGUUGAAAAAUCAUGAGACAGUGAAAAAACUAUUACUUCGUCAAUUGAAGAACGUAGAGAAGAAGAGAAAUGAAUGAUCAUGGAGAAAAAUAGGCGAGAGUUAUCAAAGAGAGAUAAGGAUGAGAGUAAGGCAAUAUACGUGGAAGAAGCUGAAACAUUUAUUACAAUUUAAAAUUAUGAAAUUGCCCUCAGUUGUGCC
Molecule: long non-coding RNA, 2727 nt
Filed under: Capsicum annuum
Lineage: Eukaryota; Viridiplantae; Streptophyta; Magnoliopsida; Solanales; Solanaceae
Description: long non-coding RNA (CANN_LNC019463)
Source: RNAcentral